CAACUCGCCUACACGAAGCUGGAAUCGCUAGUAAUCGCGGAUCAGCACGCCGCGGUGAAUACGUUCCCGGGCCUUGUACACACCGCCCGUCACACCAUGAGAGUUGGCAAUACCCAACGUACGUGAUCUAACCCGCAAGGGAGGAAGCGUCCUAAGGUAGGGUCAGCGAUUGGGGUGAAGUCGUAACAAGGUAGC
RNAcentral lists this ribosomal RNA (195 nucleotides) under uncultured bacterium. RNAcentral's name for it is "partial 16S ribosomal RNA". It matches the Rfam family "Bacterial small subunit ribosomal RNA", at positions 1308 to 1500 of the family's 1533-position model. The record is from RNAcentral.